GAUGAACGCUGGCGGCGUGCUUAACACAUGCAAGUCGAACGAGAAGUGAAGACGGAAACCUUCGGGCGGAAGGCUUUAUUUCGAGUGGCGGACGGGUGAGUAACGCGUGGGUAACCUGCCUCAUACAGGGGGAUAACAGUUGGAAACGACUGUUAAUACCGCAUAAGACCACAGCACCGCAUGGUGCGGGGGUAAAAACUCCGGUGGUAUGAGAUGGACCCGCGUUCGAUUAGCCAGUUGGCGGGGUAACGGCCCACCAAAGCGACGAUCGAUAGCCGAUCUGAGAGGAUGACCGGCCACAUUGGGACUGAGACACGGCCCAAACUCCUACGGGAGGCAGCAGUGGGGAAUAUUGCACAAUGGGGGAAACCCUGAUGCAGCGACGCCGCGUGAGUGAAGAAGUAUUUCGGUAUGUAAAGCUCUAUCAGCAGGGAAGAAAAUGACGGUGCCUGAGUAAGAAGCCCCGGCUAACUACGUG
This 478-nucleotide ribosomal RNA is filed under the name uncultured bacterium. RNAcentral's name for it is "partial 16S ribosomal RNA". It matches the Rfam family "Bacterial small subunit ribosomal RNA", at positions 28 to 507 of the family's 1533-position model. The record is from RNAcentral.